RNAcentral lists this ribosomal RNA (429 nucleotides) under bacterium. Its description in RNAcentral is "partial 16S ribosomal RNA". It matches the Rfam family "Bacterial small subunit ribosomal RNA", at positions 355 to 776 of the family's 1533-position model. The record is from RNAcentral.
UAGGGAAUCUUCCACAAUGGACGCAAGUCUGAUGGAGCAACGCCGCGUGAGUGAAGAAGGUUUUCGGAUCGUAAAGCUCUGUUGUUGGUGAAGAAGGAUAGAGGCAGUAACUGGUCUUGAUUUGACGGUAAUCAACCAGAAAGUCACGGCUAAAUACGUGCCAGCAGCCGCGGGAAUACGUAGGUGGCAAGCGUUGUCCGGAUUUAUUGGGCGUAAAGCGGGCGCAGGCGGAAUGAUAAGUCUGAUGUGAAAGCCUACGGCUCAACCGUGGAUCUGCAUCGGAAACUGUCAUUCUUGAGUGCAGAAGAGGAGAUUGGAAUUCCAUGUGUAGCGGUGGAAUGCGUAGAUAUAUGGAAGAACACCAGUGGCGAAGGCGGCUCUCUGGUCUGCAACUGACGAUGAGGCUCGAAAGCAUGGGUAGCGAACAGG